CGGUUUCAAUUUGUUGAGGGCAAAUAAAAUGGAUAUGGGUAUCAAUACCACCGGCAGUUAAAAUCAUUCCUUCUCCAGCGAUAACUUCUGUUACCGCACCGAUGAUAAUAUCCACUUGGGGCUGAAUUUCAGGGUUUCCUGCUUUACCAAUUUUGAAAAUUUUACCGUCUUUAAUACCCACAUCUGCUUUAAUUAUUCCCCACCAAUCUAGGAUUAAAGCGUUAGUGAUAACCGUAUCUACUGAACCAUCUGCCCUUGAAAUGCCCGAUUGCCCCAUCCCAUCCCG
RNAcentral lists this small RNA (286 nucleotides) under Geminocystis sp. NIES-3708. RNAcentral describes it as "5' ureB small RNA". It matches the Rfam family "5' ureB small RNA". The record is from Rfam by way of RNAcentral. Lineage: Bacteria; Bacillati; Cyanobacteriota; Cyanophyceae; Chroococcales; Geminocystaceae.